Molecule: ribosomal RNA, 774 nt
Filed under: uncultured Neocallimastigales
Lineage: Eukaryota; Fungi; Neocallimastigomycota; Neocallimastigomycetes; Neocallimastigales
Description: partial large subunit ribosomal RNA
Rfam family: Eukaryotic large subunit ribosomal RNA
Source: RNAcentral
GUACACGCUGUGACUAGCAUAUCAAUAAGCGGAGGAAAAGAAACUAACUAGGAUUCCCUCAGUAACGGCGAGUGAAGCGGGAAGAGCUCAAAUUUGAAAUCUUCAAGGUUCUACCUUGACGAAUUGUAGUUUAAAGAAGUGUUUUCUGUUGGAGUUUUGGUAAAAGUUCUUUGGAAUAGGACAUCAUAGAGGGUGAGAAUCCCGUAUUUGACCAUUAUUUCCAGCUUUGUGAUACACUUUCAAAGAGUCGGAUUGUUUGGGAAUGCAGGUCCAAAAUGGGUAGUAAAUUUCAUCUAAAGCUAAAUAUUGGCGAGAGACCGAUAGCGAACAAGUACCGUGAGGGAAAGAUGAAAAGAACUUUGAAAAGAGAGUUAAACAGUACGUGAAAUUGUCAAAAGGGAAGCGUUUGACACCAGUGUUGUUUUCUCGAAAAUCAAUUAAAAAAGGCAGGAUUUUGUGUUGUAUUGACUUUAUCAGCUUUCUGCACUCUUUUCUUGUCUUUUUUAAUGCACUUUUCGUUUAACAAGUCAACAUCAAUUUCUUUUGUUGUAAAAGGGUCAUUGGAAGGUGGCUUUCUUUUCGGAGAAAGUGUUUAUAGCCUUUGGCCUCUGCAAUCGGAGAGAUUGAGGUCUGCAGCGUAGAUCCUUCGGGGUUAGAUACAUUUGUGCUAAGUUAUAGCCUUUCAUAGACAACUUGUUGACUAUGAUCAGUCAUGUAGCUUACUCGCUUAUGCUAUUUUACCUACGCUUAGGAUGUUGAAGACUCUACAGAGAU